UUUGGCGGGCCCACCGGGGCCACCUGGUCGCCGGGGGACGCACGUCUCCGGGCCCGCGCCCGCCGAAGCGCUCUGUGAACCCUGAUGAAGAUGGGCUGUCUGAGUACUGUGAAAAUUGUCAAAACUUUCAACAAUGGAUCUCUUGGUUCCGGCAUCGAUGAAGAACGCAGCGAAAUGCGAUAAGUAAUGUGAAUUGCAGAAUUCCGUGAAUCAUCGAAUCUUUGAACGCACAUUGCGCCCCCUGGCAUUCCGGGGGGCAUGCCUGUCCGAGCGUCAUUUCUGCCCUCAAGCACGGCUUGUGUGUUGGGUGUGGUCCCCCCGGGGACCUGCCCGAAAGGCAGCGGCGACGUCCGUCUGGUCCUCGAGCGUAUGGGGCUCUGUCACUCGCUCGGGAAGGACCUGCGGGGGUUGGUCACCACCAUGUUUUACCACGGUUGACCUCGGAUCAGGU
This 451-nucleotide ribosomal RNA is filed under the name Penicillium sp. GBPI_P216. RNAcentral's name for it is "eukaryotic LSU rRNA". The stretch from base 123 to 276 matches the Rfam family "5.8S ribosomal RNA". The record is from RNAcentral. Lineage: Eukaryota; Fungi; Ascomycota; Eurotiomycetes; Eurotiales; Aspergillaceae.